This is a long non-coding RNA of Spea bombifrons (plains spadefoot toad), 158 nucleotides long. RefSeq lists it as uncharacterized. Lineage: Eukaryota; Metazoa; Chordata; Amphibia; Anura; Pelobatidae. The transcript is spliced from 2 exons. The record is from RefSeq and is a predicted model, not a curated record.
GAAGACCUCGCUAUGCGCCUGCAGAGUACCAAGAAGAGAGUGGCGGAGCUGGAACGCACCUUAUCGGGCAUCUCCCUGCACCAGAAGCAGGCGGAGAAGCUCAACAAAGAACUGGAGAAGGAACGCGACAAUCUUCGCCUCGAGUCUUUGAAAAACAG